Molecule: small nuclear RNA, 107 nt
Organism: Trichosurus vulpecula (common brushtail)
Lineage: Eukaryota; Metazoa; Chordata; Mammalia; Diprotodontia; Phalangeridae
Source: RefSeq, a predicted model, not a curated record
GUGCUUGCUUCAGCAGCACAUAUAAUAAAAUUGAAACAAAACAGAGAAGAUUAGCAUCACCCCUGCACAAAGAUGAUACACAAAUUCGCGAAGGGUUCCACAUUUUU